UGUGUGCCGCGGAAAUCUUUAUUUAUUCCAACAAAUCAUGCCCUCUCAAUUGACUUGCUAGCACAUAUUGGAGUAAUCUUUUUUUUUUACUCCUCUGGUUGCAUGGGUCAGACAUUUUUUUUUGAGACCAUGGGUCAGACAUGCAUGCGCUUUUUGGACUGCCCCACGAGGGGAGUGUUGAAGCAUUGUUUGUACGCCAGGAAUAUAAAAAUGGCAUCAUGGGCUCUUUGCAAAGGAUGAAGAUGCUAUUACUAAUCAAUGACUUGAGUCAUUAAAAUAUAUUAUAAGUUCAGGCUUCUUCUGUAUAU
Molecule: long non-coding RNA, 308 nt
Filed under: Sorghum bicolor (sorghum)
Lineage: Eukaryota; Viridiplantae; Streptophyta; Magnoliopsida; Poales; Poaceae
Description: long non-coding RNA (SBIC_LNC009458)
Source: RNAcentral